UUCUAAAGUGUUGAGUUUGGUUCAGGGUGGCUUUCCUGUUCUGUUAAUUAAGCUUUGGGAUAUUGAAAUACAGUCUAGGGAGGAUAACUGGGUAGAAAACGCUACUCUACUCAUGUACUUCUCAGCCUNNNNNN
Erinaceus europaeus (western European hedgehog) is the source of this 134-nucleotide small nucleolar RNA. The record is from Ensembl. NCBI's taxonomy places the organism in Eukaryota, Metazoa, Chordata, Mammalia, Eulipotyphla, Erinaceidae.